RNAcentral lists this transfer RNA (74 nucleotides) under Escherichia coli. RNAcentral describes it as "tRNA-Gly". It matches the Rfam family "tRNA". From Rfam's summary of the family: Transfer RNA (tRNA) molecules are approximately 80 nucleotides in length. Their secondary structure includes four short double-helical elements and three loops (D, anti-codon, and T loops). The record is from RNAcentral. Lineage: Bacteria; Pseudomonadati; Pseudomonadota; Gammaproteobacteria; Enterobacterales; Enterobacteriaceae. RNAcentral also lists the same sequence under 5 other names.
GCGGGAAUAGCUCAGUUGGUAGAGCACGACCUUGCCAAGGUCGGGGUCGCGAGUUCGAGUCUCGUUUCCCGCUC